CACGUAGGGCGCAAGCGUUGUCCGGAAUUAUUGGGCGUAAAGAGCUCGUAGGUGGUUUGUUACGUCUGCUGUGAAAACCUAGGGCUUAACCCUGGGCUUGCAGUGGAUACGGGCAGACUAGAGGUAGGUAGGGGAGAAUGGAAUUCCUGGUGUAGCGGUGAAAUGCGCAGAUAUCAGGAGGAACACCGGUGGCGAAGGCGGUUCUCUGGGCAUUAACUGACGCUGAGGAGCGAAAGCAUGGGGAGCGAACAGG
This 253-nucleotide ribosomal RNA is filed under the name uncultured bacterium. RNAcentral's name for it is "partial 16S ribosomal RNA". It matches the Rfam family "Bacterial small subunit ribosomal RNA", at positions 524 to 776 of the family's 1533-position model. The record is from RNAcentral.